GUAGAGUCGUUUGGUAACUAGAAAAGCGCAUAACCUUGGGGUUAUGGGUUCGAU
This 54-nucleotide transfer RNA is filed under the name Schismus arabicus. RNAcentral describes it as "tRNA-Met". Lineage: Eukaryota; Viridiplantae; Streptophyta; Magnoliopsida; Poales; Poaceae. The record is from RNAcentral.